GACGAACGCUGGCGGCGUGCUUAACACAUGCAAGUCGAACGGAAAGGCCUCUUUCGGGGGGUACUCGAGUGGCGAACGGGUGAGUAACACGUGAGUAACCUGCCCUUGACUUUGGGAUAACUUCAGGAAACUGGGGCUAAUACCGGAUAGGAGCUCCUGCUGCAUGGUGGGGGUUGGAGAGUUUCGGCGGUUGGGGAUGGACUCGCGGCUUAUCAGCUUGUUGGUGGGGUAGUGGCUUACCAAGGCUUUGACGGGUAGCCGGCCUGAGAGGGUGACCGGCCACAUUGGGACUGAGAUACGGCCCAGACUCCUACGGGAGGCAGCAGUGGGGAAUAUUGCACAAUGGGUGGAAGCCUGAUGCAGCAACGCCGUGUGCGGGAUGACGGCCUUCGGGUUGUAAACCGCUUUCGCUCAUGACGAAGCUUUGUGUGACGGUAGUGGGUAAAGAAGCACCGGCUAACUACGUG
RNAcentral lists this ribosomal RNA (467 nucleotides) under uncultured bacterium. RNAcentral's name for it is "partial 16S ribosomal RNA". It matches the Rfam family "Bacterial small subunit ribosomal RNA", at positions 28 to 507 of the family's 1533-position model. The record is from RNAcentral.